This 460-nucleotide ribosomal RNA is filed under the name uncultured bacterium. RNAcentral's name for it is "partial 16S ribosomal RNA". It matches the Rfam family "Bacterial small subunit ribosomal RNA", at positions 338 to 795 of the family's 1533-position model. The record is from RNAcentral.
CCUACGGGAGGCAGCAGUGAGGAAUAUUGGUCAAUGGACGAGAGUCUGAACCAGCCAAGUAGCGUGAAGGAUGACUGCCCUAUGGGUUGUAAACUUCUUUUAUAUGGGAAUAAAAUGUUCCACGUGUGGCAUUUUGUAUGUACCAUAUGAAUAAGGAUCGGCUAACUCCGUGCCAGCAGCCGCGGUAAUACGGAGGAUCCGAGCGUUAUCCGGAUUUAUUGGGUUUAAAGGGAGCGUAGGUGGAUUGUUAAGUCAGUUGUGAAAGUUUGCGGCUCAACCGUAGAAUUGCAGUUGAAACUGGCAGUCUUGAGUACAGUAGAGGUAGGCGGAAUUCGUGGUGUAGCGGUGAAAUGCUUAGAUAUCACGAAGAACUCCGAUUGCGAAGGCAGCUCACUGGACUGUAACUGACACUGAGGCUCGAAAGUGUGGGUAUCAAACAGGAUUAGAUACCCUGGUAGUC